AGGGACCAAACCAUCUCGACGAUUAGGUCAACUCUUAACCUAAUCGGGUCAAACCCAACUGAAUCCAAUUCAAUUGGACUUGAUCCAAAAAUAAUUACUCAAUUAAAUUGAGUUAAUUAGUGAUCAAAUCACUAAUUAAAUCUCUCAUAAAUAUUGAGUCCAAAUUUGAUGGGCAAUCGGGCAUCAGAAUUCAUCGAUAUGAAAUUCUGAUCGAAAAGUCCCAAACCAGUGGGACUCUUGACCCC
This 245-nucleotide long non-coding RNA is filed under the name Elaeis guineensis (African oil palm). RNAcentral's name for it is "long non-coding RNA (EGUI_LNC071798)". Lineage: Eukaryota; Viridiplantae; Streptophyta; Magnoliopsida; Arecales; Arecaceae. The record is from RNAcentral.